UACGAAGGGGGCUAGCGUUGCUCGGAAUCACUGGGCGUAAAGGGUGCAUAGGCGGGUUUUUAAGUCAGGGGUGAAAUCCUGGAGCUCAACUCCAGAACUGCCUUUGAUACUGAAGAUCUUGAGUCCGGGAGAGGUGAGUGGAACUGCGAGUGUAGAGGUGAAAUUCGUAGAUAUUCGCAAGAACACCAGUGGCGAAGGCGGCUCACUGGCCCGGUACUGACGCUGAGGCACGAAAGCGUGGGGAGCAAACAGG
This 253-nucleotide ribosomal RNA is filed under the name uncultured bacterium. RNAcentral's name for it is "partial 16S ribosomal RNA". It matches the Rfam family "Bacterial small subunit ribosomal RNA", at positions 524 to 776 of the family's 1533-position model. The record is from RNAcentral.